This 75-nucleotide transfer RNA is filed under the name Gammaproteobacteria bacterium. RNAcentral describes it as "tRNA-Val". It matches the Rfam family "tRNA". Rfam says of the family: Transfer RNA (tRNA) molecules are approximately 80 nucleotides in length. Their secondary structure includes four short double-helical elements and three loops (D, anti-codon, and T loops). Lineage: Bacteria; Pseudomonadati; Pseudomonadota; Gammaproteobacteria. The record is from RNAcentral.
GGGUGUUUAGCUCAGUGGGAGAGCAAUGGCCUUACAAGCCAUAGGUCGUAGGUUCAAGUCCUACAACACCCACCA